UGUCGGAUUAGCUAGUUGGUGAGGUAAUGGCUCACCAAGGCAGCGAUCCGUAGCUGGUCUGAGAGGAUGAUCAGCCACAUCGGGACUGAGACACGGCCCGAACUCCUACGGGAGGCAGCAGUGGGGAAUAUUGGACAAUGGGGGCAACCCUGAUCCAGCCAUGCCGCGUGUGUGAAGAAGGCCCUCGGGUUGUAAAGCACUUUCAGCGAGGAAGAACGCCUAGUGGUUAAUACCCAUUAGGAAAGACAUCACUCGCAGAAGAAGCACCGGCUAACUCCGUGCCAGCAGCCGCGGUAAUACGGAGGGUGCAAGCGUUAAUCGGAAUUACUGGGCGUAAAGCGCGCGUAGGUGGCUUGAUAAGCCGGUUGUGAAAGCCCCGGGCUCAACCUGGGAACGGCAUCCGGAACUGUCAGGCUAGAGUGCAGGAGAGGAAGGUAGAAUUCCCGGUGUAGCGGUGAAAUGCGUAGAGAUCGGGAGGAAUACCAGUGGCGAAGGCGGACUUCUGGACUGACACUGACACUGAGGUGCGAAAGCGUGGGUAGCAAACAGGAUUAGAUACCCUGGUAGUCCACGCCGUAAACGAUGUCGACCAGCCGUUGGGUGCCUAGCGCACUUUGUGGCGAAGUUAACGCGAUAAGUCGACCGCCUGGGGAGUACGGCCGCAAGGUUAAAACUCAAAUGAAUUGACGGGGGCCCGCACAAGCGGUGGAGCAUGUGGUUUAAUUCGAUGCAACGCGAAGAACCUUACCUACCCUCGACAUCGACAGAAGCCGAGAGAGAUCUUGGUGUGCCUUCGGGAACUGUCAGACAGGUGCUGCAUGGCUGUCGUCAGCUCGUGUUGUGAAAUGUUGGGUUAAGUCCCGUAACGAGCGCAACCCUUGUCCUUAUUUGCCAGCGCGUAAUGGCGGGAACUCUAAGGAGACUGCCGGUGACAAACCGGAGGAAGGUGGGGACGACGUCAAGUCAUCAUGGCCCUUACGGGUAGGGCUACACACGUGCUACAAUGGCCGGUACAAAGGGCAGCGAGCUCGCGAGAGUCAGCGAAUCCCUUAAAGCCGGUCUCAGUCCGGAUCGGAGUCUGCAACUCGACUCCGGAAGUCGGAAUCGCUAGU
Molecule: ribosomal RNA, 1112 nt
Filed under: uncultured bacterium
Lineage: Bacteria
Description: bacterial SSU rRNA
Rfam family: Bacterial small subunit ribosomal RNA
Source: RNAcentral